CAGCGGCGCACGGGUGAGUAACGCGUGGAUAAUCUACCCUCGAGCGGGGGAUAACCCGCCGAAAGGCGGGCUAAUACCGCAUAAGACCACAGGGCUUAUGUGCCGUGGUUAAAGGUGGGGACCCUUCGGGGCCUAUCACUUGAGGAUGAGUCCGCGUCCCAUCAGUUAGUUGGUGAGGUAACGGCUCACCAAGGCGAAGACGGGUAGCUGGUCUGAGAGGACGAUCAGCCACACUGGCACUGGAACACGGGCCAGACUCCUACGGGAGGCAGCAGUGGGGAAUCUUGCGCAAUGGGCGAAAGCCUGACGCAGCGACGCCGCGUGAGGGAAGAAGGCUCUCGGGUCGUAAACCUCUGUCAGGGGGGAAGAAACUUCCGGGGGUUAAUACCCCCCGGGACUGACGGUACCCCCAGAGGAAGCAUCGGCUAACUACGUGCCAGCAGCCGCGGUAAUACGUAGGAUGCAAGCGUUGCUCGGAAUUACUGGGUGUAAAGAGCGCGUAGGUGGCCUGGCAAGUCAAGGGUGAAAUCCCCCGGCUCAACCGGGGAAUUGCCUUUGAAACUGCCGGGCUUGAGUACGGGAGAGGGAAGCGGAAUUCCUGGUGUAGCGGUGAAAUGCGUAGAUAUCAGGAGGAACACCGGCGGCGAAGGCGGCUUCCUGGACCGAUACUGACACUGAGGCGCGAAAGCGUGGGGAGCAAACAGGAUUAGAUACCCUGGUAGUCC
This 725-nucleotide ribosomal RNA is filed under the name uncultured bacterium. RNAcentral describes it as "bacterial SSU rRNA". It matches the Rfam family "Bacterial small subunit ribosomal RNA", at positions 93 to 796 of the family's 1533-position model. The record is from RNAcentral.